UAAAUCCGCUAGGGGGUGCUACAAAAGUAGCUGAGAUAAGACGGUUGUUCUUAAUCCCUUUGAACCUGAACUGGUUAAAACCAGCGUAGGAAAGUGGAGCCGGAUGGUG
This 109-nucleotide non-coding RNA is filed under the name Gracilibacillus boraciitolerans. RNAcentral's name for it is "TPP sequence". It matches the Rfam family "TPP riboswitch aptamer (THI element)". From Rfam's summary of the family: Vitamin B(1) in its active form thiamin pyrophosphate (TPP) is an essential coenzyme that is synthesised by coupling of pyrimidine and thiazole moieties in bacteria. The previously detected thiamin-regulatory element, thi box was extended, resulting in a new, highly conserved RNA secondary structure, the THI element, which is widely distributed in eubacteria and also occurs in some archaea. Lineage: Bacteria; Bacillati; Bacillota; Bacilli; Caryophanales; Bacillaceae. The record is from RNAcentral. RNAcentral also lists the same sequence under 1 other name.